Molecule: ribosomal RNA, 460 nt
Filed under: uncultured bacterium
Lineage: Bacteria
Description: partial 16S ribosomal RNA
Rfam family: Bacterial small subunit ribosomal RNA
Source: RNAcentral
CCUACGGGCGGCAGCAGUGAGGAAUAUUGGUCAAUGGACGAGAGUCUGAACCAGCCAAGUAGCGUGAAGGAUGACUGCCCUAUGGGUUGUAAACUUCUUUUAUAUGGGAAUAAAAUGUUCCACGUGUGGGAUUUUGUAUGUACCAUAUGAAUAAGGAUCGGCUAACUCCGUGCCAGCAGCCGCGGUAAUACGGAGGAUCCGAGCGUUAUCCGGAUUUAUUGGGUUUAAAGGGAGCGUAGGUGGGUUGUUAAGUCAGUUGUGAAAGUUUGCGGCUCAACCGUAAAAUUGCAGUUGAAACUGGCAGUCUUGAGUACAGUAGAGGUGGGCGGAAUUCGUGGUGUAGCGGUGAAAUGCUUAGAUAGCACGAAGAACUCCGAUUGCGAAGGCAGUUCACUGGACUGCAACUGACACGGAGGCUCGAAAGUGUGGGUAUCAAACAGGAUUAGAGACCCGGGUAGUC